This 97-nucleotide non-coding RNA is filed under the name uncultured Lachnospira sp. RNAcentral describes it as "ZMP/ZTP riboswitch". It matches the Rfam family "ZMP/ZTP riboswitch aptamer (pfl RNA motif)". Rfam says of the family: Previously known as pfl RNA. ZMP is also known as AICAR. The record is from RNAcentral. Lineage: Bacteria; Bacillati; Bacillota; Clostridia; Lachnospirales; Lachnospiraceae.
UUCUGUACAACUGGCGGAAGAAUACGCUUUGCGUGUUGUGGGAUUACCCACAGGGAGUACAGAUUAUUGUAGUAUAAGCCGACCGCCUGGGCGACCA